AUACGGAGGAUGCGAGCGUUAUCCGGAUUUAUUGGGUUUAAAGGGUGCGUAGGCUGUGUGUUAAGUCAGGGGUGAAAUGCCGUCGCUCAACGACGGAGCUGCCCUUGAUACUGGCGUGCUGGAGUACGGAUGCCGUUGGAGGCAUGAGUGGGGUAGCGGUGAAAUGCUUAGAUAUCACUCAGAACACCGAUUGCGAAGGCAUCUGACGAAUCCGUCACUGACGCUGAGGCACGAAAGCGUGGGGAUAGAACAGGAUUAGAUACCCUGGUAUUCCACGCCGUAAACGAUGAUGACUAACCGUCGGCGAUAGACAGCCGGUGGCCAAGCGAAAGCGAUAAGUCAUCCACCUGGGGAGUACGUCGGCAACGAUGAAACUCAAAGGAAUUGACGGGG
This 393-nucleotide ribosomal RNA is filed under the name uncultured bacterium. RNAcentral describes it as "partial 16S ribosomal RNA". It matches the Rfam family "Bacterial small subunit ribosomal RNA", at positions 523 to 918 of the family's 1533-position model. The record is from RNAcentral.